Molecule: unclassified non-coding RNA, 4316 nt
Organism: Vigna unguiculata (cowpea)
Lineage: Eukaryota; Viridiplantae; Streptophyta; Magnoliopsida; Fabales; Fabaceae
Source: RefSeq, a predicted model, not a curated record
GCUUUUAAUCUACUUGACAAAAAAAUAAUAUGAAAAACUAGGUUUAAUAUCUUGUUGUUGAGUGCAUUGUGGUUUUGAGCUCAUUUCACAUCCUCUGGCCCUCGUUGUCCUCUCCAACCUCUCCCUACCCUCCGAUUCCGUCGUUGCCAUGCUCCCCUCCCGCCUCACCCACGACCUCUUUGCUAAAAUCUUCGCCGCCUACUACCACCCUCAUCCACCUCCGCUCCACCCCCAAUAACAACCCUAAUCUCCACCCCUACCCCUAUGGCUACAGGUACGUCUUCGACCAUGCCGACUCACUUCAUCGACAACCUCCGACGACAUCGUCUAGGACAACGUCUUGGGUCGGCCCCAGACGGCACCGACCACGCCACCCACCUCCACCGACAUUCCUUUGAAGAGGUCAAGAAGGAGUUCGACCUUGUCCCCAUACUUCCAGAAGCUUCCCUUGUUCGCCAGAAGUACACCAAUGAAUAUGAAGUUGUUGUCAACGAACAAAUCAAGUGGAUUUUUUAAGGAGUCAAGUGAGGAGGAAAGAGAGCAUGUUGAUAAAUUGAUGGAAUAUCAGCAAGGGAACUUGCUCUGUCUUUUGGAGAAGCUAACAAAUGAGAAGCUUCUUAACUUGCACACUGUUGCCUCAAAGAACAAUGAUGUGUAAUUGACAGAUUUUAUUGAAAGCGAAUUUUUAGAUGAACAGGAUCUUGGAUGAAUCACUCCAGCCCCUGAUGGAUACAAUCUAGCUACAUGGAUGCUUGAGGUUACCACACUAAUUGUUGAAGAGAAACUUGGUGUAGACUUGUUUUGUUUUAAUUUUAAAAUAUAGCUUUACAUUCGUGCAUCUCUUAACAGUGAGCUUGAAGAGAAUUUUGACAUUGGAAUAAUUAUUAGGACUACUUAUGACAGUGUAGUCAAUAGGACUUUAAUAGGUAGUUGAGUGUUGAUUUUUCUCUAAUCAUUGUACCUAGCAGUCUAGGACAAGCCUCUUGACUGUCCAACUCCUCAUUGUAUCAACUCUUAAUCACUAUAAAUAAGAUGAACAUAAGAAGGAUCCAAAAAGCCUUAUGAAGAUAUAUUAAUCUGUUUUUAAUCUUAAGUUGGUAUCAGAGCGGGUUUAUCCCGCUCUGGUUUCCAUCUCGUCUUGUCCGGCAGCACUAAUCACUGCUGUCCGCAUAUGUCUUGCCUGUUUGCUAAUGUCCACCUCUGUUUGGAGCUCUCCAACGUGUUAACCACUCUUUUUUGCCAAUUUGUCGUCGUCCGCCACCGUCAGCUGCUGUUCGCCGCCGACCGCCGUCAAUGGCCACCCUAGUUUUCGCCGGCGACCACUAAAUCUGGAGCGCCUCUCCGAGCGAUAGCCACCCCCGUCGGUGCCGGAUCCAGACUCCCAUUCACGCGCCACAUCUCUCUCUGCUUCGAACAUGCGCGUGAAGUCCACGCGCCACCAUCCUCUUGUUGGAUCUUCACCACACCACUUCCAUAGCUCUUUCCGAAGUCUCCUCUGUCUGUUUUGACCCUUAAAAUUCCAUUUCGGUGAAGUCCAGAAGCCUCCCUUGCGGAAAUCUCCCUAGGGUUUUCAAAAAUCCUCACUGUUUCUGCAUCUUCUCUUUGUUUUCUUUGUCCCCUUGAUCUGAAAAGGCCACUGGAAGUGUUGGAGGUGCUAUUUCAUUCUUUGGAAGCCCUACAUCCCUUCCGAGAAACUAAAUGGCUGAAAUUAUCUAUCUUGGUCUGUUGCCGUCUAAAUGUGGUUUCUUUGUCAAGGACAUCACGACCACCUUGAGAAAGAUGAAAGCCAUGUACUUACUGAAAAAGCUAAACAGUGGAAACAGGCAGAUUUCCAACUAUGUGCUUUGUUGUGGCAGUCGGUGGAACCAAGACUUUUGAUGUCCAUCAGAGCCUUCAAAACAUGUCACUCCUUUUGGAAGAUGGCUCAGAACAUCUAUGCCAAUGAUAUCCAACGCCUCUAUGAUUCGACAAACAAGCUGACAUCUUUAAAAAUGACCAACCAUGAUAUGAUCUCUUAAUGAAUGAAGCCCAACCGGCUGUUCAAGAUGUUCAUGUCAUACAACAAGUUCUCCCUAUUCCAGUGGUUGAGUCAAAUAUUUCCAAUGUCUCUGUCAAUCCAGGUCUUGAUCAAAGUCCUCCUGAACCAUCAUCUCCACCUAUUGAUACCUUACAACACAUGACCCCAAUGGAUAGUCCAGUUUUCCAAGAACAUGGUGAAUCCCUUACAUCAGAUUCAGAGUUACUCUUUGCUGAAAAAAUUGAAGCAGAGAAAAUAUGAUCUUCGUCAUCUUGCUCAACAACUUGGGCAUUGACUUCAUGUUGUUUGCUUCCACAAAUUACAGCUUCAUGUCCAAGUUGAUUACACUUGUUGCAUUUUGCAUCUGGUCUUUUCCAACACCUGAAUGGUGGAUGACCCAAUUUUCUGCAGUGCUCACAAGGUGGGUAAUUUUUCUUUUUGCCCUUGCCUUUGUAUGUAGUGUUUUCACCGCUUGUUUGUUUAUGCUUCUUGAAGUUUUUCUUUCCACUGUGAUGCUUUGCCGGUAAUGCACCUUCAACCACUUGAUCUUGUCUCAUAAGCCUCCGUUGCUCUUGGGCCUGCAAGGCAUGUAACACCUCUGCCAAGGUAAUCUUGGACAGAUCUUUUGUGUUUUCUAGAGUGGUUAUGGAUGCCUCAUACCUUUCUGGCACAGUUACAAGAAUUUUUUCGAUAAUUCUGCAAUCCAAAAAAUUUGUGCCAAGUAAUCUUACCUUGUUAACAAUGGCAAGCAAUCUGUCUGAGUACUCUUUAAUGGUCUCAGACUCCUUCAUCUUUUGAAGCUCAAAUUCUCUCAUCAAAUUCAACACUUGCAUACCUCGAAUCCUUUCAUCCCCUGCAUACUCCUUCUUUAGAUACUCCCAUAUUUCUUUUGCUGUUUUUAAGGUCAUGAUUCGAGUGAAGAGGGUUGCCGAAACACCAGCAAAGAGACAUGAUUUCGCCUUUGCUUUCCGAGUUUUCUUCUCCUUGUAACUUUUCAUCUGGGUCAUGGUGGGAUUUUCGGGCAGCGGAAGGAUUUCGUAAUCUUCUUCAAUGGCUUCCCAAAGAUCCAAAGCCUCUAGGUAAGCCCCCAUUUUUAUCGCCCAGGCAUCGUAGUUCUCUCCGUCAAAGACCGGAGGUGCUACUUGGGAGAAAUUUGAUUCAGCGUCCAUUAUUUCACAGGCCCGUAAGGAAACAGCUCUGGAUACCAGAUUGUUGGAGUUGAAAGGGAAAUAAUUUAAUCGGGAGAAGGAAAAAACAGAACCAGGUAAAGUGUACAGUAUUAUGAGAUUGAUAUGAAGAAAUGGCUUAUUUUAUUCAACGUAGCAGCAAUACAUUUAUAACAAAAAAUAAAACUGACAGUAACCACAUAAGCAUGAUUUCAGGGAACGUGAAUAACAGUCAUAGGUCUACACGUGUUAACCCCUACAGUGAAUAACGUCCCUCAUGUCUCUCUAGGUGUCUAUGUCUCUCCCGGCGUCUCUCCCGGUCCUAGCCUCCUGUUCCGUCGCCGCAUGAUCUGAUCGCGACGAGGUGGGGGUUUUUUAUAGCGACGCCAUAUGUGUGGAAAAAGGGUGCGUAGGGCCUUGAAAUGAUCCCGUACUCCCUUGUACUUACGUACAAGGGUAGAAAAUGUAACCUGAGGGUUGUCUGGAUCAAUCACGUCGAACGUUCCCUCAUCCAGGUCUGUGAUAAGUCCAGAGACACCGCACUUGAGAGUGCGGCAAUAAUCUUUAAAUAAGUCUGAUAUUUGCAGAAAGAAACAUCUAAUCUGAAAAAAAAUAAAUAAAAAUGUUAAUGCUUAUCUAUAGAAUUAACAAUGUAUAAAAUUAACAAAACAAUUACUUAUAAUGUUACUACUUCUUUACUUACCUGCACUGCCGUCAAGGGGGUAGGAUGUUGUGCUCUCAAGGUAGCAGAGAAUGUCUCACACUCUUCUAACGAGUAGUGGCAUGAGAUGAUAUCCCUAAUAUAAGAUUUUUUCGUGGUGGUUAAAUUCACCACCAUGUAUAAUAAAACCCGAUAAGUCUCAUCUAGUGUUUGUCCUAGAUCAGGGAAUUCAUCCUCUGGAGGUGGAGGAUGCGGGUUCUGCACACCAUCGUCUGCAUGUGGAGAAGGAUUUCUCGGUCACCAGGGAAGAUUUACAGAAGAUUCACAGCACAGCAGCAGUUCGAGAAAGCAAGAAAUGGUGAAGAUUCACAGCACAGCAGCAGUUCGAGAAAGCAAGAAAGCAGGCCGAUUAGAAGAAUGCAGAUUAGAAGCUGGGAUUCAAAAAUUUAAAUGGUGUUAAUUAUGAAAAAAA